This 528-nucleotide long non-coding RNA is filed under the name Pelobates cultripes (western spadefoot toad). Lineage: Eukaryota; Metazoa; Chordata; Amphibia; Anura; Pelobatidae. The record is from RNAcentral.
GUGUAGGUUAGGUUACAGUUAGUUAUACUGGGUGGGUUUAUAUUAUUAAAGGGACACUCCAGGCUCCCACACGUUAGAUGCACUGUGUAGGUCAGGUUACAGUUGGUUAUACUGGGUGGGUUUAUAUUAUUAAAGGGACACUCCAGGCUCCCACACAUUAGGUGCACUGUGUAGGUUAGGUUACAGUUAGUUAUACUGGGUGGGUUUAUAUUAUUAAAGGGACACUCCAGGCUCCCACACGUUAGAUGCACUGUGUAGGUCAGGUUACAGUUAGUUAUACUGGGUGGGUUUAUAUUAUUAAAGGGACACUCCAGGCUCCCACACAUGUAAGGCGCACUGUGUAGGUCAGGUUACAGUUAGUUAUACUGGGUGGGUUUAUAUUAUUAAAGGGACACUCCAGGCUCCCACACAUGUAAGGCGCACUGUGUAGGUCAGGUUACAGUUAGUUAUACUGGGUGGGUUUAUAUUAUUAAAGGGAUACUCCAGGCUCCCACACAUGUUAGAUGCACUGUGUAGGUCAGGUUACAG